ACGAACGCUGGCGGCGUGCUUAACACCUGCAAGUCGAACGGAAAGGCCCUGCUUGCAGGGUACUCGAGUGGCGAACGGGUGAGUAACACGUGGGUGAUCUGCCCUGCACUUCGGGAUAAGCCUGGGAAACUGGGUCUAAUACCGGAUAGGAGCCAUUUUAGUGUGAUGGUUGGAAAGUUUUUUCGGUGUAGGAUGAGCUCGCGGCCUAUCAGCUUGUUGGUGGGGUAAUGGCCUACCAAGGCGGCGACGGGUAGCCGGCCUGAGAGGGUGGACGGCCACAGUGGGACUGAGAGACGGCCCAGACUCCGACGGGAGGCAGCAGUGGGGAAGAUUGCACAAUGGGCGCAAGCCGGAUGCAGAGACGCCGCGUGGGGGAUGACGGCCUUCGGGUUGGAAACUCCUUUCGCUAGGGACGAAGCUUUUUGUGACGGUACCUAGAGAAGAAGCACCGGCUAACUACGUG
RNAcentral lists this ribosomal RNA (463 nucleotides) under uncultured bacterium. Its description in RNAcentral is "partial 16S ribosomal RNA". It matches the Rfam family "Bacterial small subunit ribosomal RNA", at positions 29 to 507 of the family's 1533-position model. The record is from RNAcentral.